CACGGAGUUAGCCGAUCCUUAUUCUUACGGUACAUUCAGCCCAAUACACGUAUUGGGGGUUAUUCCCGUACAAAAGCAGUUUACAACCCGUAGGGCAGUCUUCCUGCACGCGGCAUGGCUGGUUCAGGGUUCCCCCCGAUUGACCAAUAUUCCUUACUGCUGCCUCCCGUAGGAGUCUGGUCCGUGUCUCAGUACCAGUGUGGGGGAUUCUCCUCUCAGAGCCCCUAGACAUCGUCGCCUUGGUGGGCCGUUAUCCCCCCGAACAAGCUAAUGUCACGCGAGCCCAUCCAUAUCCUAUAAAUAUUUAACCGCUUUCCCAUGCGGGAGCGCCGUCUCAUGCGGGCUUAAUCCGGAUUUCUCCGGGCUACUCCCCCUGAUAUGGGCAGGUUGCUCACGCGUUACGCACCCGUGCGCCACUCUCACCGGUAGCAAGCUACCGGAUCCCGUCCGACUUGCAUGUAUUAGGCCUGCCGCUAGCGUUCAUCCUGAGCCAGGAUCAAACUC
This 504-nucleotide ribosomal RNA is filed under the name uncultured Olivibacter sp. RNAcentral describes it as "partial 16S ribosomal RNA". Lineage: Bacteria; Pseudomonadati; Bacteroidota; Sphingobacteriia; Sphingobacteriales; Sphingobacteriaceae. The record is from RNAcentral.